This 495-nucleotide ribosomal RNA is filed under the name uncultured bacterium. RNAcentral describes it as "partial 16S ribosomal RNA". It matches the Rfam family "Bacterial small subunit ribosomal RNA", at positions 28 to 507 of the family's 1533-position model. The record is from RNAcentral.
GACGAACGCUGGCGGCGUGCCUAAUACAUGCAAGUCGAACGCUGAAGGAGGAGCUUGCUCUUCUGGAUGAGUUGCGAACGGGUGAGUAACGCGUAGGUAACCUGCCUGGUAGCGGGGGAUAACUAUUGGAAACGAUAGCUAAUACCGCAUAACAGUAGAUGUUGCAUGACAUUUGCUUAAAAGGUGCAAUUGCACCACUACCAGAUGGACCUGCGUUGUAUUAGCUAGUUGGUGGGGUAACGGCUCACCAAGGCGACGAUACAUAGCCGACCUGAGAGGGGGAUCGGCCCCACUGGGACUGAGAACCGGCCCAGCCUCCUACGGGAGGCAGCAGUAGGGAAUCGUCGGCAAUGGACGGAAGUCUGACCGAGCAACGCCGCGUGAGGGAAGAAGGUUGUCGGAUCGUAAAGCUCGGUUGUAAGAGAAGAACGAGUGUGAGAGUGGAAAGUUCACACUGUGACGGUAUCUUACCAGAAAGGGACGGCUAACUACGUG